GCUCAGAGGACAAUACAUGGGAGAGUUGGCUAUUUAUUAGUACUUAAUUAAAAUUAUUAAUAUUUAAUUAAAAUAAAAUGUUUUUUACGCCUCCAUGGUGGAAGGCUCAUUUUGCCAGUUUGCAUAAAUACAUACUUUGCUAUCCUUCUUUCCUUUCGCAGCAUUUCCACUUGCCAUGAAUGGGCAAGCAGAAAAUAGUUUCAG
Molecule: unclassified non-coding RNA, 204 nt
Filed under: Hevea brasiliensis (rubber tree)
Lineage: Eukaryota; Viridiplantae; Streptophyta; Magnoliopsida; Malpighiales; Euphorbiaceae
Source: RNAcentral